This 490-nucleotide ribosomal RNA is filed under the name uncultured bacterium. Its description in RNAcentral is "partial 16S ribosomal RNA". It matches the Rfam family "Bacterial small subunit ribosomal RNA", at positions 30 to 507 of the family's 1533-position model. The record is from RNAcentral.
AUUGAACGCUGGCGGCAGGCCUAACACAUGCAAGUCGAACGGUAACAGGAAGCAGCUUGCUGCUUUGCUGACGAGUGGCGGACGGGUGAGUAAUGUCUGGGAAACUGCCUGAUGUAGGGGGAUAACUACUGGAAACGGUAGCUAAUACCGCAUAACGUCGCAAGACCAAAGAGGGGGACCUUAGGGCCUCUUGCCAUCGGAUGUGCCCAGAUUGGAUUAGUUAGUAGGUGGGGUAACGGCUCACCUAGGCGACCAUCCGUAGCUGGUCUGAGAGGAUGACCAGCCACACUGGAACUGAGACACGGUCCAGACUCCUACGGGAGGCAGCAGUGGGGAAUAUUGCACAAUGGGCGCAAGCCUGAUGCAGCCAUGCCGCGUGUAUGAAGAAGGCCUUCGGGUUGUAAAGUACUUUCAGCGGGGAGGAAGGGAGUAAAGUUAAUACCUUGGCUCAUUGACGUUACCCGCAGAAGAAGCACCGGCUAACUCCGUG